GCCUUCGUGGUGUAACGGUAGCACACUCAACGCAUAUUCGAGAGGUCCAGGUUCGAGUCCUGGCGAGGGCA
Molecule: transfer RNA, 71 nt
Filed under: Stegodyphus mimosarum
Lineage: Eukaryota; Metazoa; Arthropoda; Arachnida; Araneae; Eresidae
Rfam family: tRNA
About the family: Transfer RNA (tRNA) molecules are approximately 80 nucleotides in length. Their secondary structure includes four short double-helical elements and three loops (D, anti-codon, and T loops). Further hydrogen bonds mediate the characteristic L-shaped molecular structure. tRNAs have two regions of fundamental functional importance: the anti-codon, which is responsible for specific mRNA codon recognition, and the 3' end, to which the tRNAs corresponding amino acid is attached (by aminoacyl-tRNA synthetases). tRNAs cope with the degeneracy of the genetic code in two manners: having more than one tRNA (with a specific anti-codon) for a particular amino acid; and 'wobble' base-pairing, i.e. permitting non-standard base-pairing at the 3rd anti-codon position.
Source: Rfam by way of RNAcentral